This 253-nucleotide ribosomal RNA is filed under the name uncultured bacterium. RNAcentral's name for it is "partial 16S ribosomal RNA". It matches the Rfam family "Bacterial small subunit ribosomal RNA", at positions 524 to 776 of the family's 1533-position model. The record is from RNAcentral.
UACGAAGUGUGCAAACGUUAUUCGGAAUCACUGGGCUUAAAGGGUGCGUAGGCGGCUUGUUAAGUUGGGGGUGAAAUCCCCCGGCUCAACCGGGGAAUUGCGCCCUAAACUGGCGAGCUGGAGUGAGAUAGGGGUGUGUGGAACUUCCAGUGGAGCGGUGAAAUGUGUUGAUAUUGGAAGGAACGCCAGUGGCGAAAGCGACACACUGGGUCUCAACUGACGCUGAGGCACGAAAGCCAGGGGAGCAAACGGG